UACCUGCAGCUCAAGUAGUGACCACUAUUAUUGGGCCUAAAACGUUCGUAGCCGGUUUGGUAAAUGCCUGGGUAAAUCGUGUAGCUUAACUAUACGAAUUCCGGGUAGACUGCCAAACUUGAAACCGGGAGAAGCUAGAGGUACUCCUGGGGUAGAGGUGAAAUUCUGUAAUCCUAGGGGGACCACCAGUGGCGAAGGCGUCUAGCUAGAACGGGUUUGACGGUGAGGAACGAAGCCCUGGGGCGCAAACCGGAUUAGAUACCCGGGUAGUCCAGGGUGUAAACGCUGCUUGCUUGAUGUUAGUUGGGCUCCGAGCCCAAUUAGUGUCGGAGAGAAGUUGUUAAGCAAGCUGCCUGGGAAGUACGAUCGCAAGAUUGAAACUUAAAGGAAUUGGCGGGGAGCACAGCAACGGGUGGAGCGUGCGGUUU
RNAcentral lists this ribosomal RNA (428 nucleotides) under uncultured archaeon. Its description in RNAcentral is "bacterial SSU rRNA". It matches the Rfam family "Archaeal small subunit ribosomal RNA", at positions 474 to 903 of the family's 1478-position model. The record is from RNAcentral.